This 581-nucleotide unclassified non-coding RNA is filed under the name Hevea brasiliensis (rubber tree). Lineage: Eukaryota; Viridiplantae; Streptophyta; Magnoliopsida; Malpighiales; Euphorbiaceae. The record is from RNAcentral.
GAGCAUCUUCUACUUUGUCAUGAACAUUUUGGCCUUCAUCUAAGUUCUCCUUCACAACAUCCUUCUCAGAAGAUUGGAUUUCAUCUUUCUUCUCCACUUCGCUUUCUCCAUCUUGAGUUUCAUUUGGGUUCUCAUUUUCUUUUUUUUCAACAUCUUCCUCAGAUUCCAUUGCUGCAGUGUCCUUCUCGUGCUUUUCAGCUUCCUCCAUGUCAUCAUCCUUUGCUGCUUCAGUUUCUUUAGUGACUUCUUUGUCUUUGGAAUCCUUCUUCGAAGCUGAAGACUUUCUGCCUCGUUUCUUAGCAGGUUCACUUUCUGUAGGAGAUUGAGUUGCCUUUGCCUUUCCAGUGAUCCUCGCCGAUCUUCUUGGGGUUUCACCAGUUCCCCAAUCAAACUCCGCUACUGGUGGACCACCAGGGUGUGACUUCAGGUACUGUUCCAACUGUUUUCUUGUGGUGAUCUCCUCUCCUGUUGGUGCAGUAAAUACGAUAUCAUUCUUCUUGGGAGUACCUCCUUUUUUAGGCAGAAACUUCUUGCUCCAACCAGAAGGAGCUGGAAGCUCAAUAGACACAACUUCAUUUUUC